AUUGAACGCUGGCGGCAUGCUUUACACAUGCAAGUCGAACGGUAACAGGCCGCAAGGUGCUGACGAGUGGCGAACGGGUGAGUAAUGCAUCGGAACGUGCCCAGUCGUGGGGGAUAACUACUCGAAAGAGUAGCUAAUACCGCAUACGAUCUAUGGAUGAAAGCGGGGGACCGUAAGGCCUCGCGCGAUUGGAGCGGCCGAUGUCAGAUUAGGUAGCUGGUGGGGUAAAGGCUCACCAAGCCAACGAUCUGUAGCUGGUCUGAGAGGACAACCAGCCACACUGGGACUGAGACACGGCCCAGACUCCUACGGGAGGCAGCAGUGGGGAAUUUUGGACAAUGGGCGCAAGCCUGAUCCAGCAAUGCCGCGUGCAGGAAGAAGGCCUUCGGGUUGUAAACUGCUUUUGUACGGAACGAAACGGCUCUGGUUAAUACCCGGGGCUAAUGACGGUACCGUAAGAAUAAGCACCGGCUAACUACGUG
Molecule: ribosomal RNA, 482 nt
Filed under: uncultured bacterium
Lineage: Bacteria
Description: partial 16S ribosomal RNA
Rfam family: Bacterial small subunit ribosomal RNA
Source: RNAcentral